UACUUGGAUAACCGUGGUAAUUCUAGAGCUAAUACAUGCUAAAACCCCGACUUCGGGAGGGGUGUAUUUAUUAGAUAAAAAACCAAUGCCCUUCGGGGCUCUUUGGUGAUUCAUGAUAACUUAACGGAUCGCAUGGCCUUGCGCCGGCGACGGUUCAUUCAAAUUUCUGCCCUAUCAACUUUCGAUGGUAAGGUAUUGGCUUACCAUGGUUUCAACGGGUAACGGGGAAUUAGGGUUCGAUUCCGGAGAGGGAGCCUGAGAAACGGCUACCACAUCCAAGGAAGGCAGCAGGCGCGCAAAUUACCCAAUCCCGACUCGGGGAGGUAGUGACAAUAAAUACUGAUACAGGGCUCUUUUGGGUCUUGUAAUCGGAAUGAGUACAAUUUAAACCCCUUAACGAGGAACAAUUGGAGGGCAAGUCUGGUGCCAGCAGCCGCGGUAAUUCCAGCUCCAAUAGCGUAUAUUAAAGUUGUUGCAGUUAAAAAGCUCGUAGUUGAACCUUGGGCCUGGCUGGCCGGUCCGCCUCACCGCGUGUACUGGUCCGGCCGGGCCUUUCCUUCUGGAGAGCCGCAUGCCCUUCACUGGGUGUGUUGGGGAACCAGGACUUUUACUUUGAAAAAAUUAGAGUGUUCAAAGCAGGCCUUUGCUCGAAUACGUUAGCAUGGAAUAAUAGAAUAGGACGUGCGGUCCUAUUUUGUUGGUUUCUAGGACCGCCGUAAUGAUUAAUAGGGAUAGUCGGGGGCAUCAGUAUUCAAUUGUCAGAGGUGAAAUUCUUGGAUUUAUUGAAGACUAACUACUGCGAAAGCAUUUGCCAAGGAUGUUUUCAUUAAUCAGUGAACGAAAGUUAGGGGAUCGAAGACGAUCAGAUACCGUCGUAGUCUUAACCGUAAACUAUGCCGACUAGGGAUCGGGCGAUGUUUCUAUCUUGACUCGCUCGGCACCUUACGAGAAAUCAAAGUUUUUGGGUCUGGGGG
Molecule: ribosomal RNA, 974 nt
Filed under: Hermatomyces tectonae
Lineage: Eukaryota; Fungi; Ascomycota; Dothideomycetes; Pleosporales; Hermatomycetaceae
Description: SSU rRNA
Rfam family: Eukaryotic small subunit ribosomal RNA
Source: RNAcentral